GAAAAUGCCUCGGAAAUCUCACAAAAGGCAAAAGAGUGACACCAGUGGCGAAAGACUCGACAUCAGGACCUAUUUCAAAAAGACAGCUGACAGUCCUGGAAGCAGCAACACAAGCACCAAGCCAGGUGGCGCUAUAACCUCUCAGACUUCACCCACUGUUCUCACUCCAUUGUAGGUGAAGGUGAAGGUGAAGGAGGAGAGUGACAGUGGUUCCUUGGCUGGACAUUCACAUCAGUUCAAAGUGAAAUUCAGUACAUGUCCCAGUACAAAAUACACCAUCCAAUGUGAUCAGCCUUGCACAGUACUGGAGGCUAUACAAUCUGAUGAAA
Mugil cephalus (flathead mullet) is the source of this 329-nucleotide long non-coding RNA. RefSeq lists it as uncharacterized. NCBI's taxonomy places the organism in Eukaryota, Metazoa, Chordata, Actinopteri, Mugiliformes, Mugilidae. The transcript has 4 exons. The record is from RefSeq and is a predicted model, not a curated record.